GUGGGGAAUCUUGCGCAAUGGGCGAAAGCCUGACGCAGCGACGCCGCGUGGGUGAUGAAGGCCUUCGGGUUGUAAAGCCCUGUGGAGGGGGACGAAUAAGUCGGAGCGAAUAGCUCGCGAUGAUGACGGUACCCCUUUAGCAAGCACCGGCUAACUCUGUGCCAGCAGCCGCGGUAAGACAGAGGGUGCAAACGUUGUUCGGAAUUACUGGGCGUAAAGCGCGUGUAGGCGGCUUGGCAAGUCGGGUGUGAAAGCCCCGGGCUCAACCUGGGAAGUGCACUCGAAACUGCCUCGCUCGAGUACUGGAGAGGGAAGUGGAAUUCUCGGUGUAGAGGUGAAAUUCGUAGAUAUCGAGAGGAACAUCGGUGGCGAAGGCGGCUUCCUGGACAGUUACUGACGCUGAGACGCGAAAGCGUGGGGAGCAAACAGGAUUAGAUACCCCAGUAGUCC
This 450-nucleotide ribosomal RNA is filed under the name uncultured bacterium. RNAcentral describes it as "bacterial SSU rRNA". It matches the Rfam family "Bacterial small subunit ribosomal RNA", at positions 354 to 796 of the family's 1533-position model. The record is from RNAcentral.